AAACCUCUAGUGCACCAAUUAUCGCGCCAGCGGUAUCGUUGGGUAGCUAUGUUUGGAAUGGAUAAGCACUGAAAGCAUCUAAGUGCGAAGCCAACCUCAAGAUAAGGUAUCGUUUUCACUUCGGUGAAUAAAGGCUCCUCGUAGACUACGAGGUUGAUAGGUUGCAUGUGUAAGGGCAGUAAUGUCCUCAGCUAAGCAAUACUAAUUGGCCGAAUGCUUGACCUU
Molecule: ribosomal RNA, 225 nt
Filed under: Candidatus Omnitrophota bacterium
Lineage: Bacteria; Pseudomonadati; Candidatus Omnitrophota
Description: Candidatus Omnitrophica bacterium partial 23S ribosomal RNA
Rfam family: Bacterial large subunit ribosomal RNA
Source: RNAcentral